AGAACGAACGCUGGCGGCAUGCCUAAUACAUGCAAGUCGAACGAACUCUUCGGAGUUAGUGGCGCACGGGUGCGUAACGCGUGGGAAUCUGCCCCUUGGUUCGGAAUAACAGUUGGAAACGACUGCUAAUACCGGAUGAUGACGAAAGUCCAAAGAUUUAUCGCCAAGGGAUGAGCCCGCGUAGGAUUAGCUAGUUGGUGAGGUAAAGGCUCACCAAGGCGACGAUCUGUAGCUGGUUUGAGAGGACGACCAGCCACACUGGGACUGAGACACGGCCCAGACUCCUACGGGAGGCAGCAGUGGGGAAUUUGGACAAUGGGGGAAACCCUGAUCCAGCCAUCCCGCGUGUGCGAUGAAGGCCUU
This 363-nucleotide ribosomal RNA is filed under the name uncultured soil bacterium. RNAcentral's name for it is "bacterial SSU rRNA". It matches the Rfam family "Bacterial small subunit ribosomal RNA", at positions 26 to 418 of the family's 1533-position model. The record is from RNAcentral.